RNAcentral lists this small nuclear RNA (103 nucleotides) under Notamacropus eugenii (tammar wallaby). The record is from RNAcentral. Lineage: Eukaryota; Metazoa; Chordata; Mammalia; Diprotodontia; Macropodidae.
GUGAGAAUCCAGCAACACAUAUUCUAAAAUUUGAAAACUUUAGAAAUUAGCAUGAACCUUGUUCAAGAAAGACAUGAAAGCUUGUGAAACACUCCACAUUUUG